AGAACUUCAGUGUAUCAAGGUAGAGGUAGAUUUUUAAUAUGCUGCAUAGACAAAUUCUGCAAAGGAAAAAUGGAAAGGGUGCCCAGGAGACAGGCAGCCACGUACCUGUGAUGCGUGUCAUGCACCUCUGCAUGGCAUCCAAUCGCGCCCCCUUCUCUGGCAGGACAGGAAGGAGCCUUUGCUUCGGGGCUGCGCAUCUAAAAUUGCCAGAGUAGGACAGCACAUAUUUGCAGGCUAACACAAGCAUUUCUGAAAGGAAAUGCAUUUGGAAACUGAGUGGUAUUGAAGCAUCUAUUUUUCUUGCUAGCAGCACAAUCUGCCACCAGGAAGGUUUUAAACACUUUCCUGACAGAGAGUGCCUGCCUGAAUUUUUUGGUAAUUAAUCAUGCAUAAUACUUUAAAUUCCACACAGGCGGCUGGCUGAAAACCCUCCAGGGAUUGCUGCAUUUGCUAUCCGAAAGUCAACUCCUAUGCCUUCGGAGAGUGAGGAAGAUCAGAGAGGGGCAUUUUUGCCUGUUUUAAUGUCGCCAUCAGUCACCAGGCAAGUCUGCAAUCUUUGCUGCAUCCUUCCAUGGUAUCGGCACAAGCAAGGCUGUAGAGGAGGAAAAUGAGCUGCAGAAGGAUCAAAUGACCUGCCUGAGGUGCCCUAUCUGUUGGCACAGGCCAGAGCACAUGGUGGAUGCAGGGGCACCCCCUUCCCUUCUCCUCCCCUCCGGCUCUUUGCUGACAGGAUUCUCUCUUGCCUUCUCUGAUGGUACCUGUGCUACGUGCCACAUCCUUUCCCUCAAUGAAUUUCAGGCAGUGGAAGGGGCCGCAGAAGUUCCUUGACUCAUGAGGCGAGGCAUUCAGCGGCCUCGUGACACCUCCCAGGAUCUGCAGUCAUUGGGCUGCACUUGCCAAUAGCAACACCUGGCAAAAAUAGCUAAGAAGCAGAGCGGCCUGGGCUCAGGAGCUGAGCAACCCCUGACUGGCCAGAUGGAGACUGUGUUGAGCUCUGCCCAAGCCCUGUGAUCCUGGAAAACAGUGAAGUUAAGGAGCCAUCUGCAUUCUAGGGAAUGGCCCACUGCAAAAAAUAGCCUUCCUUAUAGGACGUAGAGGACUCAUGAUGUCCCCUCAUUUAUGAUGAGCCAACACACAGCCCUUCCAAAUUCCGAUUCUUUGCUUCAUAACUGAUGAGCUGUUUUGUUCCCACUGGUCAAUCGGAACAACAUUCUUGCUAACCAGAUUUUGGUUCAGCUCUUCUCCCUCCCCAUGUACCUGCCCUGUGUCCUGUCCUCAUCCUGAGCCAGCACACACCCCUCCUUAGUAGCUCCUCCUGCAGCAGGCUGACCUCGGACUCUCCCUGAUCCAUUGUCCAAAUAUAUCACCCUUUCACCCUACAUCCUCACACCCCAUUCUUUCUAGUUUUGUUCAUUCCUCCCUGUGAAAGAUGAACCCUCUUUGCCUAACCCCGGACCUGCUUGCAGACUGCUAUGAUGGCCAGAGUGUCCCCCCUACUGCAAGAGUCCCUUCUGUCCCUUGCAACAUCUUUUAAAUAAAAUCUCUCUUUAC
RNAcentral lists this long non-coding RNA (1551 nucleotides) under Homo sapiens (human). Its description in RNAcentral is "HSALNT0380231". The record is from RNAcentral. Lineage: Eukaryota; Metazoa; Chordata; Mammalia; Primates; Hominidae.